RNAcentral lists this ribosomal RNA (744 nucleotides) under uncultured bacterium. RNAcentral describes it as "bacterial SSU rRNA". It matches the Rfam family "Bacterial small subunit ribosomal RNA", at positions 161 to 880 of the family's 1533-position model. The record is from RNAcentral.
UGCUAAUACCGAAUAAGUUCCAAGAGCCGCAUGGCCCAUGGAAGAAAAGGUGGCCUCUACCUGUAAGCUAUCGCCUGAAGAGGGGUUUGCGUCUGAUUAGCUGGUUGGAGGGGUAACGGCCCACCAAGGCGACGAUCAGUAGCCGGUCUGAGAGGAUGAACGGCCACACUGGAACUGAGACACGGUCCAGACUCCUACGGGAGGCAGCAGUGGGGAAUCUUCCGCAAUGGGCGAAAGCCUGACGGAGCAACGCCGCGUGAGUGAUGAUGGCCUUCGGGUUGUAAAACUCUGUGAUCCGGGACGAAAAGGCAGAGUGCGAAGAACAAACUGCAUUGACGGUACCGGAAAAGCAAGCCACGGCUAAUUACGUGCCAGCAGCCGCGGUAAUACGUAGGUGGCAAGCGUUGUCCGGAAUUAUUGGGCGUAAAGCGCGCGCAGGCGGCUUCCCAAGUCCCUCUUAAAAGUGCGGGGCUUAACCCCGUGAUGGGAAGGAAACUGGGAAGCUGGAGUAUCGGAGAGGAAAGUGGAAUUCCUAGUGUAGCGGUGAAAUGCGUAGAGAUUAGGAAGAACACCGGUGGCGAAGGCGACUUUCUGGACGAAAACUGACGCUGAGGCGCGAAAGCGUGGGGAGCAAACAGGAUUAGAUACCCUGGUAGUCCACGCCGUAAACGAUGGAUACUAGGUGUAGGAGGUAUCGACCCCUCCUGUGCCGGAGUUAACGCAAUAAGUAUCCCGUCCUGGGAA